UACGAGGGGGGCGAGCGUUGUUCGGAAUUAUUGGGCGUAAAGGGUGCGUAGGCGGUUUGGUAAGUCUCGUGUGAAAUCUCCGGGCUCAACUCGGAGCCUGCACGAGAAACUGCCGGGCUUGAGUGUGGGAGAGGUGAGUGGAAUUCCUGGUGUAGCGGUGAAAUGCGUAGAUAUCAGGAGGAACACCGGUGGCGAAGGCGGGUCUCUGGGCCAAUACUGACGCUGAGGAGCGAAAGCGUGGGGAGCGAACAGG
RNAcentral lists this ribosomal RNA (253 nucleotides) under uncultured bacterium. RNAcentral's name for it is "partial 16S ribosomal RNA". It matches the Rfam family "Bacterial small subunit ribosomal RNA", at positions 524 to 776 of the family's 1533-position model. The record is from RNAcentral.